This 253-nucleotide ribosomal RNA is filed under the name uncultured bacterium. Its description in RNAcentral is "partial 16S ribosomal RNA". It matches the Rfam family "Bacterial small subunit ribosomal RNA", at positions 524 to 776 of the family's 1533-position model. The record is from RNAcentral.
UACGUAGGGUGCGAGCGUUGCCCGGAUUUAUUGGGCGUAAAGGGCGCGUAGGCGGUGAGACACGUUCGUUGUGAAAUCGCCCGGCUCAACUGGGCGGGGUCAGCGGAUACGGUCUCACUUGAGCAAGCUAGGGGGCAAUGGAAUUCCCGGUGUAGUGGUGGAAUGCGCAGAUAUCAGGAGGAACACCGGUGGCGAAGGCGGGUCUCUGGGCCGAUACUGACGCUGAGGAGCGAAAGCGUGGGGAGCGAACAGG